AAUGAACGCUGGCGGCGUGCUUUACACAUGCAAGUCGAGCGAGGCGGGUAGCAAUACCCAGUCGAGCGGCGAACGGGUGAGUAACGCGUGGAUUAUCUGCCCUAAGGUGGGGGAUAACCCGGGGAAACUCGGGCUAAUACCGCAUAUGACCGGGAGGUCAAAGGGGGCCGCAAGGCUCUCGCCUUUGGAGGAGUCCGCGUUCGAUUAGCUAGUUGGUAGGGUAAUGGCCUACCAAGGCGACGAUCGAUAGCCGGCCUGAGAGGGUGAUCGGCCACACUGGAACUGAGACACUGUCCAGACUCCUACGGGAGGCUGCAGUCGAGAAUCUUGGUCAAUGCACGAAAGUGUGAACCAGCGACGCCGCGUGAAGGAUGAAGGACCUCUGGUUCGUAAACUUC
RNAcentral lists this ribosomal RNA (398 nucleotides) under uncultured bacterium. RNAcentral describes it as "bacterial SSU rRNA". It matches the Rfam family "Bacterial small subunit ribosomal RNA", at positions 29 to 433 of the family's 1533-position model. The record is from RNAcentral.